This 323-nucleotide long non-coding RNA is filed under the name Neogobius melanostomus (round goby). RNAcentral's name for it is "lncRNA (ENSNMLG00000022861.1)". The record is from RNAcentral. Lineage: Eukaryota; Metazoa; Chordata; Actinopteri; Gobiiformes; Gobiidae.
AGAGACUGGCGAAUCUGGCAACCCCGGCCCGCCCGGAGAGCCCGGUACCGGAGGCGGUAAAGGUGAGACUGGAGAGAAAGGAGAGACUGGGCCCCCGGGAGCAGCUGGACCAGCGGGAGGACGAGGACCAGCCGGAGAUGACGGCUCCAAAGGAAACCCUGGCCCGGUUGGAUUCCCCGGAGACCCUGGUCCCCCUGGUGAGCCUGGCGUUGCUGGUCUGGAUGGUCUGUCUGGCGACAAGGGAGACGAUGGAGAAGCCGGACAGCCUGUGAGUUUUAUUUGUUAUACAUUUUUAAUUACGCACAUUUGUAUUCAUACUGACA